AUUGAACGCUGGCGGCAGGCCUAACACAUGCAAGUCGAGCGGAUGAAGGGAGCUUGCUCCUGGAUUCAGCGGCGGACGGGUGAGUAAUGCCUAGGAAUCUGCCUGGUAGUGGGGGAUAACGUCCGGAAACGGGCGCUAAUACCGCAUACGUCCUGAGGGAGAAAGUGGGGGAUCUUCGGACCUCACGCUAUCAGAUGAGCCUAGGUCGGAUUAGCUAGUUGGUGGGGUAACGGCUUACCAAGGCGACGAUCCGUAACUGGUCUGAGAGGAUGAUCAGUCACACUGGAACUGAGACACGGUCCAGACUCCUACGGGAGGCAGCAGUGGGGAAUAUUGGACAAUGGGCGAAAGCCUGAUCCAGCCAUGCCGCGUGUGUGAAGAAGGUCUUCGGAUUGUAAAGCACUUUAAGUUGGGAGGAAGGGAAGUAAGUUAAUACCUUGCUGUCUUGACGUUACCAACAGAAUAAGCACCGGCUAACUUCGUG
RNAcentral lists this ribosomal RNA (484 nucleotides) under uncultured bacterium. Its description in RNAcentral is "partial 16S ribosomal RNA". It matches the Rfam family "Bacterial small subunit ribosomal RNA", at positions 30 to 507 of the family's 1533-position model. The record is from RNAcentral.